AACGAACGCUGGCGGCGUGGAUAAGACAUGCAAGUCGAACGGGACAAGUAGCAAUAUUUGUCUAGUGGCGAACGGGUGCGUAACACGUGGGCAACAUGCCUGGAAGAGCGGGAUAGCCCGGGGAAACUCGGAUUAAUACCGCAUGUGACAACGGGGCGGAUUCGCCCUGUUUUCAAAGGUGGGGACCGCAAGGCCUGCCGCUUCCAGAUUGGCCCGCGUCCUAUCAGCUAGUUGGCGGGGUAACGGCCCACCAAGGCGAGGCCGGGUAGCUGGUCUGAGAGGACGACCAGCCACACUGGAACUGAGACACGGUCCAGACACCUACGGGUGGCAGCAGUCGAGAAUCGUUCACAAUGGGGGAAACCCUGAUGGAGCGACGCCGCGUGAGGAUGACGGUCUUCGGAUUGUAAACUCCUGUCAUGAAAGAACAAGCGGAGCGGGUGAACAGCCCGCCGAGUUGAUAGUAUUUCAAGAGGAAGGGACGGCUAACUUCGUGCCAGCAGCCGCGGUAA
This 512-nucleotide ribosomal RNA is filed under the name uncultured bacterium. RNAcentral describes it as "partial 16S ribosomal RNA". It matches the Rfam family "Bacterial small subunit ribosomal RNA", at positions 29 to 523 of the family's 1533-position model. The record is from RNAcentral.